Molecule: ribosomal RNA, 450 nt
Filed under: uncultured bacterium
Lineage: Bacteria
Description: partial 16S ribosomal RNA
Rfam family: Bacterial small subunit ribosomal RNA
Source: RNAcentral
GUGGGGAAUUUUGGACAAUGGGGGCAACCCUGAUCCAGCAAUGCCGCGUGCAGGAAGAAGGCCUUCGGGUUGUAAACUGCUUUUGUACGGAACGAAAAGGCUCUGGUUAAUACCUGGGGCACAUGACGGUACCGUAAGAAUAAGCACCGGCUAACUACGUGCCAGCAGCCGCGGUAAUACGUAGGGUGCAAGCGUUAAUCGGAAUUACUGGGCGUAAAGCGUGCGCAGGCGGUGCUGUAAGACAGAGGUGAAAUCCCCGGGCUCAACCUGGGAAUUGCCUUUGUGACUGCAAGGCUGGAGUGCGGCAGAGGGGGAUGGAAUUCCGCGUGUAGCAGUGAAAUGCGUAGAUAUGCGGAGGAACACCGAUGGCGAAGGCAAUCCCCUGGGCCUGCACUGACGCUCAUGCACGAAAGCGUGGGGAGCAAACAGGAUUAGAAACCCUGGUAGUCC